CCUUAUUCUCCCACAUGUCUGGUACCGCAGCCUGAGGUCCCUGCACACUGCAUCGACCUACAUAUCACGCUGCCUGCCUGCCUAUCUAUAUCUAUCUAUCUCUCUCUCUCUCUGUCUUUCUCUCUGUCCUAUCUAUUGCAUCUGUCCUCACUAUCUCUGUCCUCACUAUCUCUGUCCUAUAUCAAGCUAUCCUAUCAAAAUCAGUUUGACAUAUUUAUUUAUCUCCUUAUAUAUUUUUUCUGUCUAUUUAAUCUAUCUCUAUCUAAUCUGUCUAUAUGAACAGGCAGGCAGCAGUCAGCCCGAGCCCUCCUCCCAGGCUGAACCCCCUCAGCGUGAGCAGCAGGAGGAGCCGGGACGGUGCAGUGAGGACAGGGCUGGGAAGCCCCUCCCCCUCCACACUGUGUCCUGCUUUCAACCCAGACCACCACAUCAACCUUCAGACUAGCAUGGCUGCUCCCAUACCAUCAACACUGCCACGGUUAUCAGGACUCCCAGCAUCUGCAUGUCCUGCGGGUGAAGUCCACACAGAGGCCUCUAGGGAGGAGGACUGCAGCCAGACGACUGCCAGACGUGCGAGUCAGCGAGGUCAACAUGACUAGCUACAUAAUACGCUGAUGUCACAUGACCUGAAUAAAACUUUAUAGUGAA
Osmerus eperlanus (European smelt) is the source of this 648-nucleotide long non-coding RNA. RefSeq lists it as uncharacterized. Lineage: Eukaryota; Metazoa; Chordata; Actinopteri; Osmeriformes; Osmeridae. The transcript has 2 exons. The record is from RefSeq and is a predicted model, not a curated record.